UGGGGAAUUUUGGACAAUGGACGCGAGUCUGAUCCAGCCAUGCCGCGUGCGGGAAGAAGGCCUUCGGGUUGUAAACCGCUUUUGUCAGGGAAGAAACGAGUUUCUCUAAUACAGAGACUUAAUGACGGUACCUGAAGAAUAAGCACCGGCUAACUACGUGCCAGCAGCCGCGGUAAUACGUAGGGUGCAAGCGUUAAUCGGAAUUACUGGGCGUAAAGGGAGCGUAGGCGGACAUUUAAGUCAGGGGUGAAAUCCCGGGGCUCAACCUCGGAAUUGCCUUUGUGACUGCAUAGCUAGAGUACGGUAGAGGGGGAUGGAAUUCCGCGUGUAGCAGUGAAAUGCGUAGAUAUGCGGAGGAACACCGAUGGCGAAGGCAAUCCCCUGGACCUGUACUGACGCUCAUGCACGAAAGCGUGGGGAGCAAACA
This 427-nucleotide ribosomal RNA is filed under the name uncultured bacterium. RNAcentral's name for it is "bacterial SSU rRNA". It matches the Rfam family "Bacterial small subunit ribosomal RNA", at positions 355 to 774 of the family's 1533-position model. The record is from RNAcentral.